GGUUAAGCGAACAAGCGUACACGGUGGAUGCCCUGGCAGUCAGAGGCGAUGAAGGACGUGCUAAUCUGCGAAAAGCGCCGGUAAGGUGAUAUGAACCGUUAUAACCGGCGAUGUCCGAAUGGGGAAACCCGGUGCACUUCGGUGCAUCAUCGUUAGCUGAAUACAUAGGCUAACGAAGCGAACCGGGGGAACUGAAACAUCUAAGUACCCCGAGGAAAAGAAAUCAACCGAGAUUCCCCCAGUAGCGGCGAGCGAACGGGGAACAGCCCAGAGCCUGAAUCAGCUUGUGUGUCAGUGGAACGGUCUGGAAAGGCCGGCGAUACAGGGUGACAGCCCCGUACACGAAGGCACACAGGCUGUGAGCUCGAUGAGUAGGGCGGGACACGUGAUAUCCUGUCUGAAGAUGGGGGGACCAUCCUCCAAGGCUAAAUACUCCUGACUGACCGAUAGUGAACCAGUACCGUGAGGGAAAGGCGAAAAGAACCCCGGCGAGGGGAGUGAAACAGAACCUGAAACCGUGUACGUACAAGCAGUGGGAGCCUUCGUAAGAGGGUGACUGCGUACCUUUUGUAUAAUGGGUCAGCGACUUAUAUUCUGUAGCAAGGUUAACCGUAUAGGGGAGCCGAAGGGAAACCGAGUCUUAAUUGGGCGUUAAGUUGCAGGGUAUAGACCCGAAACCCGGUGAUCUAGCCAUGGGCAGGUUGAAGGUUGGGUAACACUAACUGGAGGACCGAACCGACUAAUGUUGAAAAAUUAGCGGAUGACCUGUGGCUGGGGGUGAAAGGCCAAUCAAACCGGGAGAUAGCUGGUUCUCCCCGAAAGCUAUUUAGGUAGCGCCUCGUGAACUCAUCUCCGGGGGUAGAGCACUGUUUCGGCUAGGGGGCCAUCCCGGCUUACCAACCCGAUGCAAACUGCGAAUACCGGAGAAUGUUAUCACGGGAGACACACGGCGGGUGCUAACGUCCGUCGUGAAGAGGGAAACAACCCAGACCGCCAGCUAAGGUCCCAAAGUCAUGGUUAAGUGGGAAACGAUGUGGGAAGGCCCAGACAGCCAGGAUGUUGGCUUAGAAGCAGCCAUCAUUUAAAGAAAGCGUAAUAGCUCACUGGUCGAGUCGGCCUGCGCGGAAGAUGUAACGGGGCUAAACCAUGCACCGAAGCUGCGGCAGCGACGCUUAGGCGUUGUUGGGUAGGGGAGCGUUCUGUAAGCCUGCGAAGGUGUGCUGUGAGGCAUGCUGGAGGUAUCAGAAGUGCGAAUGCUGACAUAAGUAACGAUAAAGCGGGUGAAAAGCCCGCUCGCCGGAAGACCAAGGGUUCCUGUCCAACGUUAAUCGGGGCAGGGUGAGUCGACCCCUAAGGCGAGGCCGAAAGGCGUAGUCGAUGGGAAACAGGUUAAUAUUCCUGUACUUGGUGUUACUGCGAAGGGGGGACGGAGAAGGCUAUGUCAGCCGGGCGACGGUCGUCCCGGUUUAAGCGUGUAGGCUGACUUUCCAGGCAAAUCCGGAAGGUUAAGGCUGAGGCGUGAUGACGAGGCACCACGGUGCUGAAGUGACAAAUGCCCUGCUUCCAGGAAAAGCCUCUAAGCAUCAGGUAACAUCAAAUCGUACCCCAAACCGACACAGGUGGUCAGGUAGAGAAUACCAAGGCGCUUGAGAGAACUCGGGUGAAGGAACUAGGCAAAAUGGUGCCGUAACUUCGGGAGAAGGCACGCUGACAUGUAGGUGAAGCCCCUGCGGGUGGAGCUGAAGUCAGUCGAAGAUACCAGCUGGCUGCAACUGUUUAUUAAAAACACAGCACUGUGCAAACACGAAAGUGGACGUAUACGGUGUGACGCCUGCCCGGUGCCGGAAGGUUAAUUGAUGGGGUUAUCGCAAGAGAAGCUCCUGAUCGAAGCCCCGGUAAACGGCGGCCGUAACUAUAACGGUCCUAAGGUAGCGAAAUUCCUUGUCGGGUAAGUUCCGACCUGCACGAAUGGCGUAAUGAUGGCCAGGCUGUCUCCACCCGAGACUCAGUGAAAUUGAACUCGCUGUGAAGAUGCAGUGUACCCGCGGCAAGACGGAAAGACCCCGUGAACCUUUACUACAGCUUGACACUGAACAUUGAGCCUUGAUGUGUAGGAUAGGUGGGAGGCUUUGAAGCGUGGACGCCAGUCUGCGUGGAGCCAACCUUGAAAUACCACCCUUUAAUGUUUGAUGUUCUAACCUGGCGCCGUGAUCCGGCGUGGGGACAGUGUCUGGUGGGUAGUUUGACUGGGGCGGUCUCCUCCCAAAGUGUAACGGAGGAGCACGAAGGUCAGCUAAUCCUGGUCGGACAUCAGGAGGUUAGUGCAAUGGCAUAAGCUGGCUUGACUGCGAGAGUGACGGCUCGAGCAGGUGCGAAAGCAGGUCAUAGUGAUCCGGUGGUUCUGUAUGGAAGGGCCAUCGCUCAACGGAUAAAAGGUACUCCGGGGAUAACAGGCUGAUACCGCCCAAGAGUUCAUAUCGACGGCGGUGUUUGGCACCUCGAUGUCGGCUCAUCACAUCCUGGGGCUGAAGUAGGUCCCAAGGGUAUGGCUGUUCGCCAUUUAAAGUGGUACGCGAGCUGGGUUUAGAACGUCGUGAGACAGUUCGGUCCCUAUCUGCCGUGGGCGCUGGAGAAUUGAGGGGGGCUGCUCCCAGUACGAGAGGACCGGAGUGGACGCAUCACUGGUGUUCGGGUUGUCAUGCCAAUGGCACUGCCCGGUAGCUAAAUGCGGAAGAGAUAAGUGCUGAAAGCAUCUAAGCACGAAACUUGCCCCGAGAUGAGUUCUCCCUGAGACUAUAAGUCUCCUGAAGGAACGUUGAAGACGACGACGUUGAUAGGCCGGGUGUGUAAGCGCAGCGAUGCGUUGAGCUAACCGGUACUAAUGAACCGUGAGGCUUAACCUU
Molecule: ribosomal RNA, 2903 nt
Filed under: Cronobacter malonaticus
Lineage: Bacteria; Pseudomonadati; Pseudomonadota; Gammaproteobacteria; Enterobacterales; Enterobacteriaceae
Description: 23S ribosomal RNA
Rfam family: Bacterial large subunit ribosomal RNA
Source: RNAcentral